AGCGGAGGAAAAGAAAAUAACAAUGAUUUCCCGUAGUAACGGCGAGUGAACAGGAAAGAGCUCAAAGUUGGAACCUGCUUGACUUAGUCAAGCCGGAUUGUAAACUGUAGAAACGUUUUCUAGGCAAGCCGAGUUAAAAAGUCCUUUGGAACAGGGCAUCAUAGAGGGUGAGAAUCCCGUCUUUGACUUGAGCAUUUGUCUUUUAUGAUACGUUUUCAAAGAGUCAGGUUGUUUGGGAAUGCAGCCUAAAUUGGGUGGUAAAUCUCACCUAAAGCUAAAUAUUGGCGAGAGACCGAUAGCGAACAAGUACCGUGAGGGAAAGAUGAAAAGAACUUUGAAAAGAGAGUUAAACAGUAUGUGAAAUUGUUAAAAGGGAACCGUUUGGAGCCAGACUGGCUUGAUUGUAAUCAGUCCGGGGUUUUUCCUCUGAUGCACUUGCAAUCUUUUGCCUGCCAACGGCAGUUUUCUUCAAUAGGGAAAAAACUAGUUGGAAUGUAGGUCGGCCUUCGGGUUGGCUGUUAUAGACUUCUAGAUAAUACCUUGAAGGGGACUGAGGAUCGCAGCGGAUGCUUAGGCGGUUCUAGGGGCUUUAUUUUUGCUUAUGCCGGUGAAAUUUCUAUUUAGGUAGUGUCAUCAGUAUCGGCGGGAAUACGGUCUUUUUAUGAAUCUAAUCUGCUUAGGUCGUUGGCUUAAUGACUCUAAAU
Molecule: ribosomal RNA, 704 nt
Filed under: Pilobolus roridus
Lineage: Eukaryota; Fungi; Mucoromycota; Mucoromycetes; Mucorales; Pilobolaceae
Description: LSU rRNA
Rfam family: Eukaryotic large subunit ribosomal RNA
Source: RNAcentral